This 28-nucleotide non-coding RNA is filed under the name Rattus norvegicus (Norway rat). Lineage: Eukaryota; Metazoa; Chordata; Mammalia; Rodentia; Muridae. The record is from RNAcentral.
UUCCAUGGCAAGAGGCUCUUUGCCUACA